GACGAACGCUGGCGGCGUGCUUAACACAUGCAAGUCGAACGGUACUUCCCUGCUUGCUGGGUACUCGCAUGGCGAACGGGUGGGUAACACGUGGGGGAUAUGCCCUGCACAUCGGAAUCAGCCUAGGAAACUGGGUCUAAUAACCGAUUGCUGCCAUUUCUUGUGAGUUUGUUGCACAGUUUUUUGGAUUUAGGGUGAGCUCGCGGCGUAGCUGCUUGUUGGUGGGGUAAUGGCCUACCAAGGCGGCGACGGGUAGCCGGACUGAGAGGGUGGACGGCCACAUUGGGACUGAGAGACGGCACAGACACCGACGGGAGGCAGCAGGGGGGAAUAUUGCACAAGGGGCGCAAGCCUGAUGCAGCGACGCCGCGGGGGGGAUGACGGCCUUCGGGUUGUAAACUCCUGUCGCUAGUGACGAAGCUUUUUGUGACGGUACCUAGAUAAGAAGCACCGGCUAACUACGUG
Molecule: ribosomal RNA, 465 nt
Filed under: uncultured bacterium
Lineage: Bacteria
Description: partial 16S ribosomal RNA
Rfam family: Bacterial small subunit ribosomal RNA
Source: RNAcentral